RNAcentral lists this long non-coding RNA (379 nucleotides) under Mus caroli (Ryukyu mouse). RNAcentral's name for it is "lncRNA (MGP_CAROLIEiJ_G0005564.1)". The record is from RNAcentral. Lineage: Eukaryota; Metazoa; Chordata; Mammalia; Rodentia; Muridae.
NNNNNGUUAGAUCUGUUCUAACCAUUCAGGAGGGUAAACAUUCUGAUGAAAGAGUGAACAUUCAGCACCUCAUGAUGAUGUCCUUUCGCAUGCUUCUCCUAUGUACCUAUGGAAAUCUGAAUAAAUGUGGGGAAAGAGGCAAGAAGGCAAGACCAUCAGAGGAAUCUAAAGUGGUCUUUCUGGGUGAGUCUAAGCAGAGAAGAGAAGAGAAGAGAAGAGAAGAGAAGAGAAGAGAAGAGAAGAGAAGAGAAGAGAAGAGAAGAGAAGAGAAGAGAAGAGAAGAGAAGAGAAGAGAAGAAUCUCUGUGUAAUAAUUGAAAAGUCAUAGCAAAGGAUAACUGAAUUACACCUAUUGACAUGGGAAUAAAAGUUUUAAAUUA